Molecule: transfer RNA, 73 nt
Organism: Naegleria gruberi
Lineage: Eukaryota; Heterolobosea; Eutetramitea; Acrasida; Naegleriidae
Rfam family: tRNA
About the family: Transfer RNA (tRNA) molecules are approximately 80 nucleotides in length. Their secondary structure includes four short double-helical elements and three loops (D, anti-codon, and T loops).
Source: Rfam
GUACCCUUGGCUCAAUUGGAAGAGCAUCGGCCUACGGAGCCGGGGGUUGUGGGUUCGAGUCCCACAGGGUAUA